This 1407-nucleotide ribosomal RNA is filed under the name Zunongwangia profunda. Its description in RNAcentral is "bacterial SSU rRNA". It matches the Rfam family "Bacterial small subunit ribosomal RNA". Lineage: Bacteria; Pseudomonadati; Bacteroidota; Flavobacteriia; Flavobacteriales; Flavobacteriaceae. The record is from RNAcentral.
ACACAUGCAGUCGAGGGGUAACAGAAGAAAGCUUGCUUUCUUGCUGACGACCGGCGCACGGGUGCGUAACGCGUAUACAAUCUACCUCUUACUGAGGGAUAGCCCAUGGAAACGUGGAUUAAUACCUCAUAGUAUUAUUGAUCGGCAUCGAUUAGUGAUUAAAGGUUACGGUAAGAGAUGAGUAUGCGUCCUAUUAGCUAGAUGGUAAGGUAACGGCUUACCAUGGCAACGAUAGGUAGGGGUCCUGAGAGGGAGAUCCCCCACACUGGUACUGAGACACGGACCAGACUCCUACGGGAGGCAGCAGUGAGGAAUAUUGGACAAUGGGCGAGAGCCUGAUCCAGCCAUGCCGCGUGCAGGAAGACUGCCCUAUGGGUUGUAAACUGCUUUUACAGAGGAAGAAACCCCUUUACGAGUAAAGGGCUGACGGUACUCUGCGAAUAAGGAUCGGCUAACUCCGUGCCAGCAGCCGCGGUAAUACGGAGGAUCCAAGCGUUAUCCGGAAUCAUUGGGUUUAAAGGGUCCGUAGGCGGAUUUAUAAGUCAGGUGGUGAAAGUCUUCCGCUUAGACGGGGAGAACUGCCAUUGAUACUGUAGAUCUUGAAUUUAUUAUGAAGUGGUUAGAAUGUGUAGUGUAGCGGGUGAAAUGCAUAGAUAUUACACAGAAUACCGAUUGCGAAGGCAGAUCACUAAUAAUAUAUUGACGCUGAUGGACGAAAGCGUAGGUAGCGAACAGGAUUAGAUACCCUGGUAGUCUACGCCGUAAACGAUGGUUACUAGCUGUCCGGCCCAAUUGAGGGCUGGGUGGUUAAGCGAAAGUGAUAAGUAACCCACCUGGGGAGUACGUUCGCAAGAAUGAAACUCAAAGGAAUUGACGGGGGCCCGCACAAGCGGUGGAGCAUGUGGUUUAAUUCGAUGAUACGCGAGGAACCUUACCAGGGCUUAAAUGCAGUCUGACAGGGAUGGAAACAUCUUUUUCUUCGGACAGAUUGCAAGGUGCUGCAUGGUUGUCGUCAGCUCGUGCCGUGAGGUGUCAGGUUAAGUCCUAUAACGAGCGCAACCCCUGUGGUUAGUUGCCAGCACGUAAUGGUGGGAACUCUAGCCAGACUGCCGGUGCAAACCGUGAGGAAGGUGGGGAUGACGUCAAAUCAUCACGGCCCUUACGUCCUGGGCCACACACGUGCUACAAUGGUAGGGACAGAGAGCAGCCACUGGGCGACCAGGAGCGAAUCUAUAAACCCUAUCACAGUUCGGAUCGUAGUCUGCAACUCGACUACGUGAAGCUGGAAUCGCUAGUAAUCGCAUAUCAGCCAUGAUGCGGUGAAUACGUUCCCGGGCCUUGUACACACCGCCCGUCAAGCCAUGGAAGCUGGGGGUACCUGAAGUCCGUUACCGUAAGGAGCGCCCU